GACGAACGCUGGCGGCGUGCUUAACACAUGCAAGUCGAACGGAAAGGCCCCUUUGGGGGUCCUCGAGUGGCGCACGGGUGAGUAACACGUGAGUAACCUGCCCUUGACUUCGGGAUAACUUCAGGAAACUGGGGCUAAUACCGGAUAGGAAUCCUUGCUGCAUGGUGGGGGUUGGAAAGCUUCGGCGGUUUUGGAUGGACUCGCGGCUUAUCAGCUUGUUGGUGGGGUAGUGGCUUACCAAGGCUUUGACGGGUAGCCGGCCUGGGAGGGCGACCGGCCACAUUGGGACUGAGAUACGGCCCAGACGCCUACGGGAGGCAGCAGUGGGGAAUAUUGCACAAGGGGCGGAAGCCUGAUGCAGCAACGCCGCGUGCGGGAUGACGGCCUUCGGGUUGGAAACCGCUUUCAGCAGGGGCGAAGCUUGUGGUGACGGUACCUGCAGAAGAAGCACCGGCUAACUACGUG
This 465-nucleotide ribosomal RNA is filed under the name uncultured bacterium. Its description in RNAcentral is "partial 16S ribosomal RNA". It matches the Rfam family "Bacterial small subunit ribosomal RNA", at positions 28 to 507 of the family's 1533-position model. The record is from RNAcentral.